RNAcentral lists this ribosomal RNA (232 nucleotides) under Bacillus paranthracis. Its description in RNAcentral is "partial 23S ribosomal RNA". It matches the Rfam family "Bacterial large subunit ribosomal RNA", at positions 1 to 227 of the family's 2925-position model. Lineage: Bacteria; Bacillati; Bacillota; Bacilli; Caryophanales; Bacillaceae. The record is from RNAcentral.
GUUUGGUUAAGUUAGAAAGGGCGCACGGUGGAUGCCUUGACACUAGGAGUCGAUGAAGGACGGGACUAACGCCGAUAUGCUUCGGGGAGCUGUAAGUAAGCUUUGAUCCGAAGAUUUCCGAAUGGGGAAACCCACCAUACGUAAUGGUAUGGUAUCCUUAUCUGAAUACAUAGGGUAAGGAAGACAGACCCAGGGAACUGAAACAUCUAAGUACCUGGAGGAAGAGAAAGCA